RNAcentral lists this ribosomal RNA (324 nucleotides) under Vibrio diabolicus. Its description in RNAcentral is "partial 23S ribosomal RNA". It matches the Rfam family "Bacterial large subunit ribosomal RNA", at positions 1370 to 1694 of the family's 2925-position model. The record is from RNAcentral. Lineage: Bacteria; Pseudomonadati; Pseudomonadota; Gammaproteobacteria; Vibrionales; Vibrionaceae.
CGGGGCAGGGUAAGUCGACCCCUAAGGCGAGGCCGAAAGGCGUAGUCGAUGGGAAACGGGUUAAUAUUCCCGUACUUCUUACAAUUGCGAUGGGGGGACGGAGAAGGCUAGAUGGGCCUGGCGACGGUUGUCCAGGUUCAAGUGCGUAGGCUGAAGAGUUAGGUAAAUCCGGCUCUUCUUAAGGCUGAGACACGACGUCGAGCUACUACGGUAGUGAAGUCAUUGAUGCCAUGCUUCCAGGAAAAGCCUCUAAGCUUCAGAUUGUAAGGAAUCGUACCCCAAACCGACACAGGUGGUCGGGUAGAGAAUACCAAGGCGCUUGAG